GCCAGGCGCAGUGGCGCUCUCCUGUAAUCCCAGCUACUCCGAAGGCUGAACCCAGAGGAUCACUUGAGUCCAGGAGUUCUAGGCUGCAGUGGGCUAGGCCGAUCGGGUGUCCGCACUAAGUUCCGCAUCAAUAUGGUGACCUCCCGGGUUUGGGGGAACACCAGGUUGCCUAAGGAAGGGUGAACCAGCUCAGGUCAGAAAUGGAGCAGGUCAAAAUAUGCAUGAAAUGAGAUUAAAAUAAGAAUAUCUAUGAAUUUUGUCAUUACUGUGAUUAUGAUCACUACUUCCAAGGAUUAU
Dipodomys ordii (Ord's kangaroo rat) is the source of this 297-nucleotide unclassified non-coding RNA. It matches the Rfam family "Metazoan signal recognition particle RNA". From Rfam's summary of the family: The signal recognition particle (SRP) is a universally conserved ribonucleoprotein. It is involved in the co-translational targeting of proteins to membranes. The record is from Ensembl. NCBI's taxonomy places the organism in Eukaryota, Metazoa, Chordata, Mammalia, Rodentia, Heteromyidae.